GAUGAACGCUGGCGGCGUGCCUAAUACAUGCAAGUCGAGCGAACGGACGAGAAGCUUGCUUCUCUGAUGUUAGCGGCGGACGGGUGAGUAACACGUGGAUAACCUACCUAUAAGACUGGGAUAACUUCGGGAAACCGGAGCUAAUACCGGAUAAUAUUUUGAACCGCAUGGUUCAAAAGUAAAAGACGGUCUUGCUGUCACUUAUAGAUGGAUCCGCGCUGCAUUAGCUAGUUGGUAAGGUAACGGCUUACCAAGGCAACGAUGCAUAGCCGACCUGAGAGGGUGAUCGGCCACACUGGAACUGAGACACGGUCCAGACUCCUACGGGAGGCAGCAGUAGGGAAUCUUCCGCAAUGGGCGAAAGCCUGACGGAGCAACGCCGCGUGAGUGAUGAAGGUCUUCGGAUCGUAAAACUCUGUUACUAGGGAAGAACAUAUGUGUAAGUAACUGUGCACAUCUUGACGGUACCUAACCAGAAAGCCACGGCUAACUACGUG
This 497-nucleotide ribosomal RNA is filed under the name uncultured bacterium. RNAcentral describes it as "partial 16S ribosomal RNA". It matches the Rfam family "Bacterial small subunit ribosomal RNA", at positions 28 to 507 of the family's 1533-position model. The record is from RNAcentral.